This is a small nucleolar RNA of Zingiber officinale, 139 nucleotides long. RefSeq annotates it as small nucleolar RNA snoR74. Lineage: Eukaryota; Viridiplantae; Streptophyta; Magnoliopsida; Zingiberales; Zingiberaceae. The transcript has a single exon. The record is from RefSeq and is a predicted model, not a curated record.
AUACAACCAGGGGCUUGUUCUUUUUUCACUUGUAGCAAGCUUCUCGAAAAACUUUAGGAAUAUUGAUCUCAUUGUUAUUGGGUGAACCUUCAGAGAUUUUUAUUCCAUGAAAGAAGGUUCAAUAAACAAUGACACAACU